UGGAAUGAUUAUUGUAUUCGACUGUAUUCGAAUGUAUUCACGGCGUGAAACAGGGGAUUACACUAUUUUUAAACGGAAAGUGAAUCAAUUAACAUAAUAGACUCCU
MicroRNA precursor from Nicotiana attenuata, 106 nucleotides. It matches the Rfam family "MIR6152 microRNA precursor family". The record is from Rfam. NCBI's taxonomy places the organism in Eukaryota, Viridiplantae, Streptophyta, Magnoliopsida, Solanales, Solanaceae.